UCCUGAUUAGCUCAGCUGGGAGAGCACCUCCCUUACAAGGAGGGGGUCGGCGGUUCGAUCCCGUCAUCACCCACCA
Molecule: transfer RNA, 76 nt
Filed under: Escherichia coli
Lineage: Bacteria; Pseudomonadati; Pseudomonadota; Gammaproteobacteria; Enterobacterales; Enterobacteriaceae
Description: tRNA-Val
Rfam family: tRNA (bases 4-69)
About the family: Transfer RNA (tRNA) molecules are approximately 80 nucleotides in length. Their secondary structure includes four short double-helical elements and three loops (D, anti-codon, and T loops). Further hydrogen bonds mediate the characteristic L-shaped molecular structure. tRNAs have two regions of fundamental functional importance: the anti-codon, which is responsible for specific mRNA codon recognition, and the 3' end, to which the tRNAs corresponding amino acid is attached (by aminoacyl-tRNA synthetases). tRNAs cope with the degeneracy of the genetic code in two manners: having more than one tRNA (with a specific anti-codon) for a particular amino acid; and 'wobble' base-pairing, i.e. permitting non-standard base-pairing at the 3rd anti-codon position.
Source: RNAcentral